UUUAUGCAUACUCCACAUACUGUAGCUCAAGUGUAUGACAGCAUGCAACCUUAAUCAAACUUUUAACCUGACAAAGUGUCUCAUAACUUGUAAAAAUUAUAAUUUGUGUGAACUUGGUUGUUUAUUCUACAGUCAUAUUAAA
Hydra vulgaris (swiftwater hydra) is the source of this 142-nucleotide RNA transcript. RefSeq lists it as uncharacterized. The record is from RefSeq and is a predicted model, not a curated record. NCBI's taxonomy places the organism in Eukaryota, Metazoa, Cnidaria, Hydrozoa, Anthoathecata, Hydridae.